RNAcentral lists this ribosomal RNA (254 nucleotides) under uncultured bacterium. RNAcentral describes it as "partial 16S ribosomal RNA". It matches the Rfam family "Bacterial small subunit ribosomal RNA", at positions 524 to 776 of the family's 1533-position model. The record is from RNAcentral.
UACGUAGGGAGCAAGCGUUGUCCGGAUUUAUUGGGCGUAAAGAGCUCGUAGGCGGUUUCGUAAGUCGGCGGUAACAACUCCAGGCUCAACUUGGAGACGCCCGCUGAUACUGCGAUGACUUGAGUGCGGUAGGGGAACACGGAAUUCCAGGUGUAGCGGUGAAAUGCGCAGAUAUCUGGAGGAACACCAAUGGCGAAGGCAGUGUUCUGGGCCGUAACUGACGCUGAGGAGCGAAAGCGUGGGGAGCGAACAGG